Molecule: ribosomal RNA, 253 nt
Filed under: uncultured bacterium
Lineage: Bacteria
Description: partial 16S ribosomal RNA
Rfam family: Bacterial small subunit ribosomal RNA
Source: RNAcentral
GACAGAGGGGGCAAGCGUUGCUCGGAAUUACUGGGCGUAAAGGGCGCGUAGGCGGGAUGGCAAGUCGGUCGUGAAAUCCCUCGGCUCAACUGAGGAUCGUCGAUCGAUACUGCCGUUCUUGGGGAUUGCAGAGGAGACUGGAAUUCCCGGUGUAGCGGUGAAAUGUGUAGAGAUCGGGAGGAACACCGGUGGCGAAGGUGGGUCUCUGGGCAAUUCCUGACGCUGAGGCGCGAAAGCGUGGGGAGCAAACGGG